GACACCACUCGCCCGUCACUCUCUCUCUUUUUUUUCCCCCUUCCUUCUGGACGGGGAAGAAGAAGAAGGGGGUGGCGAGCGGACUCUGCGUGUUCCGGAGCUCUCCGACGCCUUCGGGUGUCGGGAAGCGCUCCGAGUGCACCGAAUCUCGUGAACGAAACCUCUCUUCUGUCUGUGGCCUUGGUUGCGCAGAGUUGUUGACGGCGCUCGUGCCCCAUCAAAUGGGCGCGGCGGCUCUCGGCUCGAUUAACGUGCGGCGAAGCGCCUUUGGGGAGGGGUUCCUUGUUUUUCCGGCGGACGGCCCCAGCGGCUGUUCCUCCGCGUUUUACUACUUUCGUUCG
Molecule: ribosomal RNA, 341 nt
Filed under: Desmarestia peruviana
Lineage: Eukaryota; Phaeophyceae; Desmarestiales; Desmarestiaceae
Description: nuclear rRNA
Source: RNAcentral